GACGAACGCUGGCGGCGUGCUUAACACAUGCAAGUCGAGCGGAAAGGCCCUUUCGGGGGUACUCGAGCGGCGAACGGGUGAGUAACACGUGAGUAAUCUGCCCUUCACUUGGGGAUAACCUCCGGAAACGGUGGCUAAUACCCGAUACGACCAUUCCUCGCAUGAGGUGGUGGUGGAAAGUUUUUCGGUGGGGGAUGUGCUCGCGGCCUAUCAGCUUGUUAGUGGGGUAAUGGCCUACCAAGGCUUCGACGGGUAGCCGGCCUGAGAGGGUGACCGGCCACACUGGGACUGAGACACGGCCCAGACUCCUACGGGAGGCAGCAGUGGGGAAUAUUGGACAAUGGGCGGAAGCCUGAUCCAGCAACGCCGCGUGAGGGAUGACGGCCUUCGGGUUGUAAACCUCUUUCACCUGUGACGAAGCGAAAGUGACGGUAGCAGGAGAAGAAGCACCGGCCAACUACGUG
RNAcentral lists this ribosomal RNA (464 nucleotides) under uncultured bacterium. RNAcentral's name for it is "partial 16S ribosomal RNA". It matches the Rfam family "Bacterial small subunit ribosomal RNA", at positions 28 to 507 of the family's 1533-position model. The record is from RNAcentral.